Molecule: ribosomal RNA, 253 nt
Filed under: uncultured bacterium
Lineage: Bacteria
Description: partial 16S ribosomal RNA
Rfam family: Bacterial small subunit ribosomal RNA
Source: RNAcentral
UACAGAGGUGGCAAGCGUUGUUCGGAUUUAUUGGGUGUAAAGGGCAGGUAGGCGGUCGUGUAAGUCUGGUGUGAAAUCCCAGGGCUCAACCCUGGAACUGCAUUGGAAACUACACAACUUGAGCCACGGAGGGGUGAGGGGAAUUCUCGGUGUAAGGGUGAAAUCUGUAGAUAUCGAGAGGAACACCAAUGGCGAAGGCACCUCACUGGCUGAUGGCUGACGCUCAACUGCGAAAGCCGGGGGAGCAAACAGG